GAGUUUGAUCCUGGCUCAGGAUGAACGCUGGCGGCGUGCUUAACACAUGCAAGUCGAGCGAUGAAGUUUCCUUCGGGAAACGGAUUAGCGGCGGACGGGUGAGUAACACGUGGGUAACCUGCCUCAUAGAGUGGAAUAGCCUUCCGAAAGGAAGAUUAAUACCGCAUAACGUUGAAAGAUGGCAUCAUCAUUCAACCAAAGGAGCAAUCCGCUAUGAGAUGGACCCGCGGCGCAUUAGCUAGUUGGUGGGGUAACGGCCUACCAAGGCGACGAUGCGUAGCCGACCUGAGAGGGUGAUCGGCCACAUUGGGACUGAGACACGGCCCAGACUCCUACGGGAGGCAGCAGUGGGGAAUAUUGCACAAUGGGGGAAACCCUGAUGCAGCAACGCCGCGUGAGUGAUGAAGGUUUUCGGAUCGUAAAGCUCUGUCUUUGGGGAAGAUAAUGACGGUACCCAAGGAGGAAGCCACGGCUAACUACGUGCCAGCAGCCGCGGUAAUACGUAGGUGGCGAGCGUUAUCCGGAUUUACUGGGCGUAAAGGGAGCGUAGGCGGAUGAUUAAGUGGGAUGUGAAAUACCCGGGCUCAACUUGGGUGCUGCAUUCCAAACUGGUUAUCUAGAGUGCAGGAGAGGAGAGUGGAAUUCCUAGUGUAGCGGUGAAAUGCGUAGA
Molecule: ribosomal RNA, 670 nt
Filed under: uncultured bacterium
Lineage: Bacteria
Description: bacterial SSU rRNA
Rfam family: Bacterial small subunit ribosomal RNA
Source: RNAcentral